RNAcentral lists this ribosomal RNA (591 nucleotides) under Cordyceps militaris. RNAcentral describes it as "eukaryotic LSU rRNA". The stretch from base 216 to 369 matches the Rfam family "5.8S ribosomal RNA". The record is from RNAcentral. Lineage: Eukaryota; Fungi; Ascomycota; Sordariomycetes; Hypocreales; Cordycipitaceae.
GGAAGUAAAAGUCGUAACAAGGUCUCCGUUGGUGAACCAGCGGAGGGAUCAUUAACGAGUUUUCCAACUCCCAACUCUUUGUGAACAUACCUAUCGUUGCUUCGGCGGACUCGCCCAGCGCCUGGACGCGGGCCUGGGCGGCGGCCGUCGGGGGCCCCAAACACUGUAUCUACCAGUUUUUCUGAAUCCGCCGCAAGGCAAAACAAAUGAAUCAAAACUUUCAACAACGGAUCUCUUGGCUCUGGCAUCGAUGAAGAACGCAGCGAAAUGCGAUAAGUAAUGUGAAUUGCAGAAUUCAGUGAAUCAUCGAAUCUUUGAACGCACAUUGCGCCCGCCAGCAUUCUGGCGGGCAUGCCUGUUCGAGCGUCAUUUCAACCCUCGACGUCCCCUGGGGGAUGUCGGCGUUGGGGACCGGCAGCACAUCGCCGCCCCCGAAAUGAAGUGGCGGCCCGUCCGCGGCGACCUCUGCGUAGUACUCCAACUCGCACCGGGAACCCGACGUGGCCACGCCGUAAAACGCCCAACUCUGAACGUUGACCUCGGAUCAGGUAGGAAUACCCGCUGAACUUAAGCAUAUCAAUAAGCGGAGGA